GUGGGGAAUUUUGGACAAUGGGCGCAAGCCUGAUCCAGCAAUGCCGCGUGCAGGAAGAAGGCCUUCGGGUUGUAAACUGCUUUUGUACGGAACGAAACGGUCCUGGUUAAUACCCGGGGCUAAUGACGGUACCGUAAGAAUAAGCACCGGCUAACUACGUGCCAGCAGCCGCGGUAAUACGUAGGGUGCAAGCGUUAAUCGGAAUUACUGGGCGUAAAGCGUGCGCAGGCGGUUGUGUAAGACAGGCGUGAAAUCCCCGGGCUCAACCUGGGAAUUGCGCUUGUGACUGCACAGCUGGAGUGCGGCAGAGGGGGAUGGAAUUCCGCGUGUAGCAGUGAAAUGCGUAGAUAUGCGGAGGAACACCGAUGGCGAAGGCAAUCCCCUGGGCCUGCACUGACGCUCAUGCACGAAAGCGUGGGGAGCAAACAGGAUUAGAAACCCUGGUAGUCC
Molecule: ribosomal RNA, 450 nt
Filed under: uncultured bacterium
Lineage: Bacteria
Description: bacterial SSU rRNA
Rfam family: Bacterial small subunit ribosomal RNA
Source: RNAcentral